CUUUGAUUAAAAGGUUCUAAAGCCUAAAAAAAUUAAAACAAUAUUAAAGAAAAAGCUGAUAAGAGCAGAUUGUUACAUCGAGAAAACAUUGUCAACCGAGUCGAAGCCAAGGCUUAAAAUGCUUCUUCGAGGAAUGUCAAUCUGAGCUAUGAGUUAUCUAAUUUAUUAUACAGUAUGACCUAUCAUUAUUGUCUUUUACAGUUCCAUUUUUAAUUUAAAGUAUUUAACUAUGAAGUCACGUACAUAACAACAUUACGGGAAUCAACAGAAGGGAAGCAAGAUAACUUUUUUUCUAACAUUGUCGGUGAAAGAAAAAGUUCUUAGCCAAAACGUAGAACUUAAGCAUUGUCUUUACUUUACUUAAUGUUAAUUCAAUUCCUUACCCUUUAGAUUAUCGAUUUUUGAUUUGUUUGCACGAAAGGGUGACACUUACAAAAUUUGUCUCCCGUUCAGCCAUGUGAUAGAGUAAAUUAUCUCACUCGCAUAAGCCAAUCAAAAUAUAAUAUUUUAGAGUUGGGUAUAAUGAUCUGAAAUAUCACCAAAAUAAUAUGAACUUGCGCUUAACACUGUAUGACAACGACGACAACAUGCUUUUAUCCAGCCAAAGGGAAAAACAUAAUUUAUUUUAAUUUGAUUUUAAUGAAUAGAUUUUUUGAAAAGUCUUAAAUACUUAAUUUUGGUAAUUUCA
This 688-nucleotide long non-coding RNA is filed under the name Mytilus galloprovincialis (Mediterranean mussel). The record is from RNAcentral. Lineage: Eukaryota; Metazoa; Mollusca; Bivalvia; Mytilida; Mytilidae.